CCUACGGGAGGCAGCAGUAGGGAAUAUUGGGCAAUGGAGGCAACUCUGACCCAGCCAUGCCGCGUGCAGGAUGAAGGCGUUAUGCGUUGUAAACUGCUUUUAUAUAGGAAGAAAUAGACCUUGCGAGGUAAGUUGACGGUACUAUAUGAAUAAGCACCGGCUAACUCCGUGCCAGCAGCCGCGGUAAUACGGAGGGUGCAAGCGUUGUCCGGAUUUAUUGGGUUUAAAGGGUGCGUAGGCGGUUUAUUAAGUCAGUGGUGAAAGACGGUCGCUCAACGAUUGCAGUGCCAUUGAUACUGGUAGACUUGAGUAUGAUUGAGGUAGCUGGAAUGGAUAGUGUAGCGGUGAAAUGCAUAGAUAUUAUCCAGAACACCAAUUGCGUAGGCAAGUUACUAAGUCAUAACUGACGCUGAUGCACGAAAGUGUGGGUAUCAAACAGGAUUAGAUACCCUGGUAGUCCACACUGUAAACGAUGAUAACUACUGUUGUCUUCGGUCAGUGGUACAGAGAACUCGUUAAGUUACUCCACCGUCGGGUAGGUACGGCCGGCCGACGGUACGUAACGUACGAAGGAAGUUAGUACGGACGUAGAGACGNGCCGACGGACGACGACGAGGGAGGAGG
Molecule: ribosomal RNA, 624 nt
Filed under: uncultured bacterium
Lineage: Bacteria
Description: bacterial SSU rRNA
Rfam family: Bacterial small subunit ribosomal RNA (bases 1-530)
Source: RNAcentral